Molecule: ribosomal RNA, 253 nt
Filed under: uncultured bacterium
Lineage: Bacteria
Description: partial 16S ribosomal RNA
Rfam family: Bacterial small subunit ribosomal RNA
Source: RNAcentral
UACGUAGGGACCAAGCGUUGUUCGGAUUUACUGGGCGUAAAGGGCGCGUAGGCGGCAAUUCAAGUCAGUUGUGAAAUCUCCGAGCUUAACUCGGAACGGUCAACUGAUACUGUUUUGCUAGAGUACAGAAGGGGCAAUCGGAAUUCUUGGUGUAGCGGUGAAAUGCGUAGAUAUCAAGAGGAACACCUGAGGUGAAGACGGGUUGCUGGGCUGAUACUGACGCUGAGGAGCGAAAGCGUGGGGAGCGAACAGG